RNAcentral lists this long non-coding RNA (210 nucleotides) under Brachypodium distachyon (stiff brome). RNAcentral's name for it is "long non-coding RNA (BDIS_LNC000566)". Lineage: Eukaryota; Viridiplantae; Streptophyta; Magnoliopsida; Poales; Poaceae. The record is from RNAcentral.
CCACCGCGUGCUCUCCGGAGCCGGUCUUCUUCUUCUACUAGCUUUUUUUUCUGUCUAAAUGUAUUUUUUUGCUGGGCACAACGCAAUUUAGCAACCGCAAUAUAUGGCCAAGCCAUGCAAUCGGACCGUACAAAAUCGGUAUUAACGGUUUGCAUGGCUUGGUCGACUGUUUGAGUAGGCCAAACUCAACCCAUGAACACACUUAUGUUG